Long non-coding RNA from Drosophila sulfurigaster albostrigata, 534 nucleotides. RefSeq lists it as uncharacterized. The record is from RefSeq and is a predicted model, not a curated record. NCBI's taxonomy places the organism in Eukaryota, Metazoa, Arthropoda, Insecta, Diptera, Drosophilidae. The transcript has 2 exons.
UACGAGUGUGGGCAGAUAAAAAGUCGGCCUAACAAAAAAAAAUUUUUUUUUUAAAUUCGUAAAUAUUUUAUUCGAUUACGGUUUUAUCAACACUCGUAAUUUUGGCGGGACUUUUAAUGCGUUCACUUUUGCAUUGUCGUCAACAUGAAUAAAAUCGAAUAUCGUGCUGUCAUAAGAUUUCUGUUUUUAAAAGAGAAAUCCAAUGACGAUAUUAAAAAGAAGUUAGACAAAGUUUAUAAGGAUUAUGCUCCAUCGUUUUCAACAAUAAAAUAUUGGACUGCUGAAUUUAAACGCGGGCGGACAAGCAUUUUUGACGAUGAUCGCCCGGGUCGUCCCAGAGAGGUAACAACACUAGAAAUUGUGGAUAAAGUCCAUGGAAUGAUAUUGGAUGAUCGCCGCCGAAUCAAGCUGCGAGAGAUUGCAAAUGCUCUAAACAUUUCUCGGGAACGCGUUAUAAACGUUAUACACGAAUUUUUACACAUGAGUAAGCUUUCGUCAAGAUGGGUGCCGCGAUUGCUCACAAUGGAAAAUAAA